This 1681-nucleotide ribosomal RNA is filed under the name Salmonella enterica subsp. enterica serovar Enteritidis. RNAcentral describes it as "partial 23S ribosomal RNA". It matches the Rfam family "Bacterial large subunit ribosomal RNA", at positions 1252 to 2911 of the family's 2925-position model. The record is from RNAcentral. Lineage: Bacteria; Pseudomonadati; Pseudomonadota; Gammaproteobacteria; Enterobacterales; Enterobacteriaceae.
GAAGGUGGCCUGUGAGGGUUGCUGGAGGUAUCAGAAGUGCGAAUGCUGACAUAAGUAACGAUAAAGCGGGUGAAAAGCCCGCUCGCCGGAAGACCAAGGGUUCCUGUCCAACGUUAAUCGGGGCAGGGUGAGUCGACCCCUAAGGCGAGGCCGAAAGGCGUAGUCGAUGGGAAACGGGUUAAUAUUCCCGUACUUGGUGUUACUGCGAAGGGGGGACGGAGAAGGCUAUGUUGGCCGGGCGACGGUUGUCCCGGUUUAAGCGUGUAGGUGUGUGUUCCAGGUAAAUCCGGUUCACUUUAACACUGAGGCGUGACGACGAGGCACUACGGUGCUGAAGCAACAAAUGCCCUGCUUCCAGGAAAAGCCUCUAAGCAUCAGGUAACAUCAAAUCGUACCCCAAACCGACACAGGUGGUCAGGUAGAGAAUACCAAGGCGCUUGAGAGAACUCGGGUGAAGGAACUAGGCAAAAUGGUGCCGUAACUUCGGGAGAAGGCACGCUGACACGUAGGUGAAGUGAUUUACUCAUGGAGCUGAAGUCAGUCGAAGAUACCAGCUGGCUGCAACUGUUUAUUAAAAACACAGCACUGUGCAAACACGAAAGUGGACGUAUACGGUGUGACGCCUGCCCGGUGCCGGAAGGUUAAUUGAUGGGGUCAGCGCAAGCGAAGCUCCUGAUCGAAGCCCCGGUAAACGGCGGCCGUAACUAUAACGGUCCUAAGGUAGCGAAAUUCCUUGUCGGGUAAGUUCCGACCUGCACGAAUGGCGUAAUGAUGGCCAGGCUGUCUCCACCCGAGACUCAGUGAAAUUGAACUCGCUGUGAAGAUGCAGUGUACCCGCGGCAAGACGGAAAGACCCCGUGAACCUUUACUAUAGCUUGACACUGAACAUUGAGCCUUGAUGUGUAGGAUAGGUGGGAGGCUUUGAAGUGUGGACGCCAGUCUGCAUGGAGCCGACCUUGAAAUACCACCCUUUAAUGUUUGAUGUUCUAACGUGGACCCGUUACCCGGGUUGCGGACAGUGUCUGGUGGGUAGUUUGACUGGGGCGGUCUCCUCCUAAAGAGUAACGGAGGAGCACGAAGGUUGGCUAAUCCUGGUCGGACAUCAGGAGGUUAGUGCAAUGGCAUAAGCCAGCUUGACUGCGAGCGUGACGGCGCGAGCAGGUGCGAAAGCAGGUCAUAGUGAUCCGGUGGUUCUGAAUGGAAGGGCCAUCGCUCAACGGAUAAAAGGUACUCCGGGGAUAACAGGCUGAUACCGCCCAAGAGUUCAUAUCGACGGCGGUGUUUGGCACCUCGAUGUCGGCUCAUCACAUCCUGGGGCUGAAGUAGGUCCCAAGGGUAUGGCUGUUCGCCAUUUAAAGUGGUACGCGAGCUGGGUUUAGAACGUCGUGAGACAGUUCGGUCCCUAUCUGCCGUGGGCGCUGGAGAACUGAGGGGGGCUGCUCCUAGUACGAGAGGACCGGAGUGGACGCAUCACUGGUGUUCGGGUUGUCAUGCCAAUGGCACUGCCCGGUAGCUAAAUGCGGAAGAGAUAAGUGCUGAAAGCAUCUAAGCACGAAACUUGCCCCGAGAUGAGUUCUCCCUGAGACUUAGAGUCUCCUGAAGGAACGUUGAAGACGACGACGUUGAUAGGCCGGGUGUGUAAGCGCAGCGAUGCGUUGAGCUAACCGGUACUAAUGAACCG